CGUAGGGUGCGAGCGUUAAUCGGAAUUACUGGGCGUAAAGCGUGCGCAGGCGGUUAUGUAAGACAGAUGUGAAAUCCCCGGGCUCAACCUGGGACCUGCAUUUGUGACUGCAUAGCUAGAGUACGGUAGAGGGGGAUGGAAUUCCGCGUGUAGCAGUGAAAUGCGUAGAUAUGCGGAGGAACACCGAUGGCGAAGGCAAUCCCCUGGACCUGUACUGACGCUCAUGCACGAAAGCGUGGGGAGCAAACAGGAUUAGAUACCCUGGUAGUCCACGCCCUAAACGAUGUCAACUGGUUGUUGGGUCUUCACUGACUCAGUAACGAAGCUAACGCGUGAAGUUGACCGCCUGGGGAGUACGGCCGCAAGGUUG
RNAcentral lists this ribosomal RNA (370 nucleotides) under uncultured organism. Its description in RNAcentral is "bacterial SSU rRNA". It matches the Rfam family "Bacterial small subunit ribosomal RNA", at positions 526 to 896 of the family's 1533-position model. The record is from RNAcentral.